CCUGGGAUGGUAUUUCUUCUCAUCUGACCUGGGCAGGUGGGACUAUGCUCUUCCAUUUAAAAAACAGCAAAACAUGGGGCGCCCGGGUGGCGCAGUCAGUUAAGCGUCCGACUUCAGCCAGGUCACGAUCUCGCGGUCUGGGAGUUCGAGCCCCGCGUCGGGCUCUGGGCUGAUGGCUCAGAGCCUGGAGCCUGCUUCCGAUUCUGUGUCUCCCUCUCUCUCUGCCCCUCCCCCGUUCAUGCUCUGUCUCUCUCUGUCCCAAAAAUAAAUAAACGUUGAAAAAAAAAAUUUUUUUUUAAAUAAAAAACAGCAAAACAAAGGUGACUCCUCCUACGUCUUAUCCAUGUUUCUCCUUUCCAACUAGUUCUGUAGAGCUCAGAGGACGGAGGACGGCCUCACACUUUGCACCCAUGACUCUCUUGGACUGAAUGGUAUGCAAGACAAGCCCUAGCUGAAGAAACAACGGAGAUCAAGGUACUGAUUCACUCUGAUGAUACGAGAUGUGAGAUUUCACAGUAGGAGCUGCGAUAUGCAGGUGAAAUCCCAGUCAAGUUACUUCCUCUCCUGAGACGUAACUUGCUGCCCUGUAAAGUGAGCUGAUUGGGUUUGAAAAGCAUCACGGUACUUUCCAGUCCUACAAUGUUAUGUUCCAUGUUUGGUCUUAAGUAUAGACGGCAAACAAUUAGACCACCGCACACACAAAAAUGAGAAGUUUAAUUCAACAGAUAGUUAUUGAGAGCUGCCUCUAUUUUCAGGCAACACACUAGUGAGGAGGUAUUUAAGGAUAUGUAAGAGAUGAAUCCUACCUUUAAGCACACACAACCUAAUGGAUCAGAAUAAGACUCUAGAUUAAAGGCUCUAGAGUGAAGGCACACCGUUUCCCUUGGAACCUUUCGGGUCAUUUGUUUAACCUCUCUGAACCUACUUGGUAAUGUGUAAAUUGUGAAUGGUAAUGGCUCCAACUAGGAGUGAGACAUAAAUGAGGGUAUAUGAAGUUUUGUUACUAAGCCAUUUAUAUUACCGUUCUGCCCUCCUGAAACAGCAUUUUUCUUUCCCAGCCCGGACCGUUUUGCAAACCGUCUCCAUUUUUAAUCGCCUCAUUUCUUGAAGUUGAAUUUUCUAUUAAUGCUUUGAGAUGCAUCUCAAGUUCCACUUCUCCAUGCCGACUUAUCUGUCUGUUUCAGCCAAUACAAAUCUCCCUUGUCUCUGGGUUUUUUGGUGCCUUGUUAAAACCUUUAUAGGGUCUUUCCUAUUGCUUCAUAAUUGACUCAGGUAUGUAUGGUUGUAAGUAUUCUUGAACCCCAGCUUCUUAUGCUACUAACUGCCUACAGGGACCUUGAAUUCUACAGGUGUCAAGUCGAAUCCAUCAUCUUGCCCAAAGAUGCUGUUCCUCUUCUAGGGCUCAUUGCAGUUAAUAGUUUCUCACUUGCUUCCACUAGCUACCUAAGUACUUAUCAUGUUUCCUCUCCAUCGCACCCCCCUCCAGUCCAUACUAUUAAUCCCAAUUUACAUGCAUCACUCAAAUCAUCCUUUCUCAACUCCAUUGUCUCAGGCUUACAGGAGCAUUUCUCGACCGGGUUAAUGGAAUGGCAGAGGGCAGGAUGUCUCAGUAUCACCGAGCCAAGCUUUUCAAAAUAUCCUUAUUUACCUUCCAGUCACCCCGUAUCAGAUCAGAAACUUGGUUGGGGGAAAAGACAGAAGACCAGGGAGGGGAAAAAACAGCCUGUGUCCUCUGCACAAAGCUUCCCUGGUUAUUCUGAUGUAUUGCUCAUCACUGCUGAGAACCAGCGUUUCAACCUUCCUCCUCCCCAAUCCUUUCUCCCUCUAUUGCCCAACUUACUUCUCAAAACUUCCAAUAACAACGGCACCUCAUUGCCUUUCAGGAACAAACAAACAGACAACAGAUUCCUGAACCUGGCUUUCACAUGGCCCCAGGCCGCUUCCCUGACCUGGUGUCCUCCAAUUUCUUCCAUGCCCAGGAAGUUCCAGACAAACCAACCAGACCUCGUUCUCCUAGACACAGCAUACCGUCGAUUCACGCCAUUACCCCUUGGAAUCGCCUUCUGUUCUCAGAUCACUAACCUCGCUGAAAAAAAUCCCACUUAACUUUCGAUGUCCAAGCCAACGCCGGCUCCUCCGAUGCCGACCCUCUUUCAGGCAGAAUUAGCUGUUCCCUCUUCUACACCUUCCCAGCAUUCUAUUCACGAGGCUAAUCUACUGACCAACAGUUUGGGUAAGCUACCUUUCUUGCCUCCCUCCAAAAAGACAUAAGCCCUUCUUUUUGGUCUCCUACGUAAUCAAGUAACUCUGUUACACUUACACCCUAUUCCACUGUGUGUGCUUGAGUGGGUGCGUGUGAGUGGGCACUGAGUUUCAUAACCUCUCUGUCUACUACAUUAAACCACGAUCUCCUCAAAGAUCAGUACUGUCUUAUCUUUCUUUGAAUCCCUCGCGCCAAGAGAGAGCACAGAGUUUUAGUAGCCACUAAAUAAUUCUUCAGUCAAAAUUAAAAUUAGACAUCGUCCCCUAGUCAGCCUCUCCCAGCUCUAAGAAGUGGGCUUCUGUCACCACAGCACACUGUGCAUACCAACUUUAACUGAGACUAUCUGCCGAUGAGUCCAUGUCCUUGACUAAGACUGGAGACCAAUGUUCGAGAACAACGGAACAGAGUUUCCCGUUGUUUCUUUCAGGCAUACGCACCGCAUCUUUCACCACUCUUACAUUUUGACAUCUCCUCCAGCCCUGGACUGAGAGCAAGCAUUUAGCAAGUAUCUGUCAAGUGGCAGACCCUUCUUGAAUGUUCCAGAAUAAGUUGAGAGGACGCCAUGUCCCUCUCAGCUGUGUUUCCAGGAAAGGACGGAUUGAGCCUUUCAGGGCUACACCCCCCCAACCUUAACUGAUGUCCUGUAUCUAUCCUGGUAUUUCAGUGUGAUUAGUCAAGUCACCACAAACGAGAAUCUGUCACUGUCCUCAUUUCCGGCUCAUUUACAUGGUCCGACACCAGCCCUUUGCUCCUCUCCAGUUGUCCCAAUAUGUUCACCAGAUUGGCAUGUAUCAUACUAACCUUGCCCAGGAGUAAAAAUAAAAUAAAAUAAAAUUAGAUGAGACACAGAAAUAAAAUUCUCAGAUAAAUUAAAAGUAAUGCCUACUUAUGUGACAAGCUCUAUUCGAAACUGAGGGUUGGGUCACUGUUCAAUGCAAUCAGAGUACACAGGCCUACUGAGUAAUGAAAACUUUUAACAUUACUUUCCCCACAACUGAAGAAUUUUUGAAAUUUUGUUUUUAAAAAAUACACCACAAAUACCAGGCCGUUUAUAAGCAUAAACUCAAUCUCACCUUAUUAUUAAAAGUUAUGAAGACACUGCAUGGUAUGUUUUAUUUUACGCAAUAAUAAUAACUACCUUGUUUCUUAAAAGCAUAAACAUGAUAAAACCUCCCUUUUUCUCCAUAUUUAAAUAAAAUAAUACACAUAACCUUAUACAAGUUUAUAAAUGGCUCCACCAUUUUGAAUGCUGAGGCACAACUUAGUGGCCACCAUCAUUCAAAACAUCGUUAGCUCCCGAGCAACCAAGGAGAUCAUUUUUCUAGAAGUUGGGAAAUCGCAUUAACUUGUGUUAAGAAAAAAGGAAAAGCUCACCAUGAGUCACAGCACACAGACAGGGAGGAGGGCAGAAAGCACGGUAGCCAUCAUAAUAUAUCACAAUAGCAGAGAUGUCAAAAAAUUUUAGAGUUUCCUUCCAGAUAGGUCUAGGUGUGAAAUUACUUGGAGGCAGAAAAUAAUGACCCUGAACUUCUUAUUUAAGAUAAAGGACAUGGGAUAUUGGUGAACUUUAAUUCACAUUUUAUGACUGUAUUUAAAAGUCCCCAGAGUCAUGAUUACUCUCAAUUUCUAGGAUCUGGGACAGAUGAUUGUCUUUCUGCAGUGAAGUCAUUUGUGUGAUUAGCUGCAGUGCUGUAUUUUAAGGCCCCAUUGAGAAGAACAAAAUGAAGUCAAGAAUCGAGGCACUAGUCCAGAUGAGUCUUAUAAAAUCUGAUACUAGAAAGAAAGAUUAGUCUUGGCUUAUGUGAUCGUAACUGACCAUCUAUACCACCAACAUUCGCUGGUAUAAAAUAAAGUGACAUGGAAUAUACAACCAACCAGUCCUAAUCGGGGAAGGACAGGCCCCAGUUCGGGUCACCAUGCUGAGUUGCCAUUUUAGGUCAUUUCUCAGAUUAGCAACGAGUGGGCAAGAAGAACCAUUUUUAGAAGUUUUCUUUAGUCCAUCCUAAUGUUCCUAGAUGUUCCACUUUGUCCAGGCUUUCCAGGAAAAGAAAGUUCAAAAUUAUCUUAAAUGUCUCUCCAAUGUGCAAAAAGAUUGAUCCUUUUUACCAGGGAAUAGGUCUCUGAAACCAAUAAAGUGCAUCUUACUGAAACAACCUUCCUCUUCGACUGUGAAUUUUUAAAUAAUGGUUUCAUGUUUAUUUAUUCUGAGAGAGAGCGGGUGAGCAGGGGAGGGGCAGAGAGAGAGAGAGAGAGAGAGAGAGAGGGAGGCAGAGAAUCCCAAGUAGGCUCCACGCUGUCAGCACAGAGCCCAAUGCAGAGCUCCAUCCCACAAACCAUGAGAUCAUGACCUGAGCUGAGAUCAAGAGUUGGAUGCGUAACUGACUGAGCCACCCAGGCAUCCCUCGAUUGUGAGUUUUUAAGGUCUUGGGUCCUACUUCUGUAUGUGAGGUGGGGGGAAGUCACUCCUGUCAAGAGUAUAGAGACACAUUAGACUGUGGUCAUCAAAUGACUUCAGCUUUUUGAGACAUAAGCUUUGCAACAGUGACAAUAAUCAGUUUCCUUCGAAAGGCUAAACAAAGUGAAUAAAUUACAUUCACUCUAGGAGUUCUUGGAUGCUUGGAUGACCUGGUUUCACUGGGCAUAUGGCACCGGUAUUUCCUGGCAGGCUUUAUUUUAGUCCUACCUCGCCAGUCAUUGGAGCGAGGAGGGAAGGACAAGAGGGCCCAAGGGGAUGGGGACUUGUAAAAGGGAUCGGGGAAUACCGGAGAGGCAUUACAAAAUUGCUAACUUUUGGAAGGAUGGCUAGCUUGAGACAUCCCUUUUGUUUUUUUAAUUUAUUUAUUAAAUUUACAUCCAAGUUAGUUGGCACCUAGUGCAACACUGAUUUCAGGAGUAACUUCCUUAAUGCCCCUUACCCAUUUAGCCCCCCACCCUCCCACAACCCUCCAGGAACCCUCUGUUUGUUCUCCAUAUUUAAGAGUGAGAUAUCCCUUUUUAAUGGCCUCCCACAAACUUUCUAGACGGCACUGCCGGAGUAAGCAUUUUCUGGAUUACAUACUCAUGCAUAUGCAUAGGUAAUAUUACAUUUCCUGUUCUCAUCCUUCCAGAUCUACUCUCAGAGAAGUUGGUAGAGGAGGGAUUUUCUCCAAAUCAUCAGGGUUUCUUUUACAUAGAAUUCCACAUUAAAUGAAUAAAAAAUAAAAAAAAUAAAGCCUUGGAGUGCCACAUUAACUUCUCCUAGAAUACUGUUGGGAGCCUUAUGCUGUGCUUAAAAUGUCAACUGUCAAAAUAAUAUAGUUAUUUUUCCAGGAAAUCCCAAACAUCUGCAGUGAGCCUAGCAAGUCUAUAUAAAUGAAAUAGUACCUACAUCCCUCCGACCCUAGAAAAAUAAAUCUGGGGAGAAAAGAGAGCUUAGUCAAAGCAUCCUUUGUCCAUGGAAACCUCGUUUUCCAUAUUUGCUUAUUUUUAAACCCAACUCCUGAACAUAAACCAUCAUAUCCAAGUACCACCUCUUUGCUAAUUUAACAAGCCAUUAGAAGCUUUCUGUUUGCCUCCCAAAAGAUGACAAGAACAGUUUGCUGUCCUGGUUGAUGACCCCGGUAGAAAGUCCUCAUUUUAUACUUCUUGUGAGUACAAGGAACCCUAUGUCACAAAGGAAGUUAAAUGAGGGACUUUAUCUCCGAAGGCUUCAUACAGUUGAGUAGAAGGUGUACUAUUCAUUCGGAAGGGGAUAACACAGCUCACCUACAAAUUUAGAAAAGAAAAAAGAAAACCAAAAGGGUUUAAAAGGUGAUAACCCUGAAAGGUGUGUCUGCUACUUAAGUGCAGAGUCUCAAAAAUUAUAUGCUUUUGGGGGGAAAAAAUGUUUUCAGUUGAAUGAACGCAUUUGGAAUUAAUGAGGGGACUGAGCAUGAGUUCACUUAGCAUUUUGGGACAAACCCUGCCAUUUUGGUGGUUAUAGUAAAUCAGCCUGAGGGCAUGUGGACAAACAGAAAUAGAACAGCUACGUCCUUCUUUUAUCUUCCACACACACUCAUACGUGUGAUAUUUUGCUUGAUUCUUGGCAAGGUAUUCUUCUAAAAUGCCAACAGGUAACUAUUCUUCCCUUUGAUUUUUAAAGAGGUUUGUAUUUUCAGAGCCCAGAAGAUACAACGCACAAAUAAUAUUCCAACCACAUUGUGUUCAAUAUGUACGAUAAUAGAGGUGGGCGGUCCAUUUUUCAGAAAUGCCCAGGUUAAGUCUUCUGUUUGAUUUGUAAGUUCUACGUCUACUGAAACAGCUAGAGCCAGCUGUGUAAAAUAUUUGGAUUACUGCUUGAACUUGUGCCUUUAAAAUGUCUGGGGACUGACCGUGGCCACAAGAGCAGUUGUUCCUUUUAAGUAGAUCCAGCAGAAAUUAAAUAUCUGCAGGGGGGGCACAGGCUAAGAGGUGGGGCUCCCUCCAAGUCUGUUCCCCCAUGGCUCUGAACAUCCCUUCCAGCUCCUUGGAGAACCACGCUGUUUGGAGCGCAGCAGGAACUUGUUUACAGCACUUCAACCAGAGGGAGACCCUGAGCCUGUCAUUAACCUCUUUGCCGUCAGCAUUUUAAAGUGGAAAUACUAGCCAGCCUUGUAAUAUUUCAGCCAUUUUCCCCUCACUUCACAAUGUUGCCAAAGUAGAUGGGUCAGAAGAUGGGACUCUCCAUUUCUCUCGGUUCAAAACGCUCAGAAGAAGUUAGCAAUACCAACGUCCCCAUACACAAAAGGCCUUGGGAACAUUUGUUUAAAUUUGACUUUUGAAUCAACCCCAAGCAAUUGUUCCUUGGCAAGAGAUAUGUAACUUUAUCACAGAUAAAUUUUCCUCGCUCACAAUUCCUGGCCUGGAGUUGAUGUGGGGAUCAUGCAGAUGUGUGUUGGAAAUUAAACAGGGUACUACCAGGGUGGCCGCAAUUAAAUUCAGACUUGCAUUCAAACCAUGCCCUGUGCUGCAUUUCUUCGAGAACUUUGCUUUCUAUAGACAUUUCGAAAUGUUCCUUCACAAAAGGAGGAGGCAGGGUGGCUGGGCCCAAGUCCCCUAAAUCAAGGCAGUGAGAAGAGAAAGGGGGGAGUGUAGUUGUGGGGUGUCAAAGUAGCUGUUAAAAUACAUGAAUACUCAGACUUCUAAUUUAGGGUGUUUUCUCAGGGAGCCCAAAAGUUAUUCUCUCCCACAUUCACAGACAGGCUACAAUCAUUAUUUGGAAAAGAAAGAAAUUAUGAGCUCAUAUGGAACAUCAACCCACCAGCAUGUGUUACAAAGUGGAAUGGUUCCUUGAAAGAAAAAAAUGUCUUCCUCUGCUUAACAUACAUUUUAGGACGGAAAGGCUGAAUGUUAGCAAAUCCUGAUAAUAGUAGAGUCCUGGGCUCCUGUGACAAGUUGUUACAUGGCUUGAGAAAAAAAAAAAAAAAUGACCAAUUUGGAAUAAUUUUCUACAGAAUUACAGAUAGUACAAUAUUUAGAAGGAAGAAAACUACGGAGAAUCAAUGUUAGACGUGAUUUUUCCAGGCUACAACUAAGUUGAUAAGAAUCUGGAAGUUUGUUUGCUUUUUGGCAAAAUCACUUGAACGUGGAGUUCAAAUUUAAUCUGCUUUCUGAUUCUAGGCAGAAUCGGUUUAAUCGCUUUUAUGCAUUUGAAGAAAUAUGGAUUACAUUAAGUUAAAGUGGCUGAAAAAAAUUCCCAGCAUUUUCAUGCCUAUGCCAAAUGGCCAUUUGAAAUACUAUGCUAAAAAUCUACUUGAGAGUAUGCUUCUAUAACCUUUGAAAAGUUUGGGAGUUAUCAGAGGAGUUGGCCUGCUCAAAGCAGAUAAUCACUUUUGCAUAAAUGUCGCCCAAAAGAACAGCUCUCUGAUUAAGGUGCAAAAUAACAUAAUCCCAAGAUUCGUAACCACACCCGGGAUGGUCAAAAGCAUUUUUUUUUUUUGUAAUAUACAUUGGCAAGUUAUCACACACAUUUCACAUGCAAGCGUAAAUGAUCUGAAAAAGACAAUCACUGGCUCAGGCUGAACUGAUUUCAACAUUUGAGCAAAUCACAAACAGCAGAUCUGGCCUUACUUAAAAUUUCCAUCUAGUUGUUGAACGGAACAAAAAUAAACAAAUGGAAACCUUGACAGAUGAAUAAGACUCUUCUCAUGAUUUUUUAAACCCGAAAAUGCAGCAGGAAACAAAUCCCACCACGGAAGUCCUUGCAGACAAACUGCCUUUGGCAUCUAGUCUGGAGCAAACAAUCUCCAAAGACCACCCCCCUCGCUCUCCCACCAGAACCCUCCACUCUUGCUUUAUUUCCUAAUUCCGUGGACUGGAUUGCUGAGCUGUUUAUCAAACAGUGUGCAAUAAAAUCGGCUUCACUCUACUACUCUAUGAACUCUUGCAAUUUUCUCCCUCCUCCUGGACAGAGGCCACUAGUCAGGGAAAGCCUCAGGAAAAAAAAAAAAAAAAAAAAAAGGCAGAUCAGGGAAAGCGAAGAAACAAUAGACAACCAUGGCUUUGACAAUGCCUUCCCUCAACCCUCUUUCUGCUCCUGCUGUGACACUUGCAUUCAAGAGCAAGGGUGGCUGCCAUCGGAUGCGUGGACAAUGGACUGAGGAAUACAAGGCAGGGGGGAAAAAAGGAGAUCAGAUGAAUUCUGAGCUAAGAUGGCAGGGCUCUCACCUUUUCCGUGUGUUUGCGAAUAGUCUGGAUGGAGGCGUCCCGCAGAGAAGAAAUAAAAAGGGUGUCUGAAUUGUUGGAUGGUUCUGAAGGCUUCUGCAUGUUGCAAACGCAUUUUAGAACUAUUUGCAGGGGUAUACUUGCUGCCAGCCAUCUCCCUCUCCCUCUCCCUCUCUCUCUCUCUCUCUCUCUCUCUCUCUCUCUCUCUCUCUCUCUCUCUCUCUCUCUCUCUCCUCUGUUUUAUGUCCUGCUAUCUCCAUCACACCUCUAUUAGUAUGAAGACUUUCUGCCUGUGUAAGUAAGUGAGAGUGUGCGUUCCUUGGUGUUUGAAUCAAGACCCACGUCCGCAUGCAUUUCUAAUCUAAGGAGCCUAUAGCGGUUACUAGAACUAUCAAUUAGUCAGCAACAGCAGAGACCCUCAACGCCUCUGAAGGAACAAAGGUGGAAAGACAUGCAAAUACUCUGGCACCUGGAUCACGCAACUUGCUGGCUACAAAUAGGGGCAUCUUUUCCUGGUUUUUUUUUUUUCUGUUUAACUCUCAAAUCUAUGUGAUAUUACAGGUUACUAAUGUAUCCAGCUGCAUAAUUAGGUAUGGGAGCGCCUCUAGGUAUAUAUGCUUCUUUGGCAUCAUUG
RNAcentral lists this long non-coding RNA (9557 nucleotides) under Lynx pardinus (Iberian lynx). Lineage: Eukaryota; Metazoa; Chordata; Mammalia; Carnivora; Felidae. The record is from RNAcentral.